AGUGAACGCUGGCGGUAGGCCUAACACAUGCAAGUCGAACGGCAGCACAGGAGAGCUUGCUCUCUGGGUGGCGAGUGGCGGACGGGUGAGGAAUACAUCGGAAUCUGCCCAGUCGUGGGGGAUAACGUAGGGAAACUUACGCUAAUACCGCAUACGACCUUCGGGUGAAAGAGGGGGAUCGCAAGACCCCUCGCGAUUGGAUGAGCCGAUGUCGGAUUAGCUAGUUGGCGGGGUAAUGGCCCACCAAGGCGACGAUCCGUAGCUGGUCUGAGAGGAUGAUCAGCCACACUGGAACUGAGACACGGUCCAGACUCCUACGGGAGGCAGCAGUGGGGAAUAUUGGACAAUGGGCGCAAGCCUGAUCCAGCCAUACCGCGUGGGUGAAGAAGGCCUUCGGGUUGUAAAGCCCUUUUGUUGGGAAAGAAAUCUUUCAGGCUAAUACCCUGGGAGGAUGACGGUACCCAAAGAAUAAGCACCGGCUAACUUCGUG
RNAcentral lists this ribosomal RNA (490 nucleotides) under uncultured bacterium. Its description in RNAcentral is "partial 16S ribosomal RNA". It matches the Rfam family "Bacterial small subunit ribosomal RNA", at positions 29 to 507 of the family's 1533-position model. The record is from RNAcentral.